UACAGAGGGUGCAAACGUUGUUCGGAUUUAUUGGGCGUAAAGCGUGUGUAGGCGGCUUCGCAAGUUGGAUGUGAAAUCCCACGGCUCAACCGUGGACGUGCAUCCAAAACUGCGUCGCUAGAGUCUCGGAGAGGAAGGUGGAAUGCUUGGUGUAGAGGUGAAAUUCGUAGAUAUCAAGCAGAACACCUGCGGCGAAGGCGGCCUUCUGGACGAUGACUGACGCUGAGACACGAAAGCGUGGGGAGCAAACAGG
RNAcentral lists this ribosomal RNA (253 nucleotides) under uncultured bacterium. RNAcentral describes it as "partial 16S ribosomal RNA". It matches the Rfam family "Bacterial small subunit ribosomal RNA", at positions 524 to 776 of the family's 1533-position model. The record is from RNAcentral.